RNAcentral lists this transfer RNA (67 nucleotides) under Marmota marmota marmota (Alpine marmot). It matches the Rfam family "tRNA". Rfam says of the family: Transfer RNA (tRNA) molecules are approximately 80 nucleotides in length. Their secondary structure includes four short double-helical elements and three loops (D, anti-codon, and T loops). RNAcentral also lists the same sequence under 1 other name. Lineage: Eukaryota; Metazoa; Chordata; Mammalia; Rodentia; Sciuridae. The record is from Rfam by way of RNAcentral.
GGUCGUGGCUCAGUGGUAGAGCACUUGCCUAGCAUGCAUGAGGCACUGGGUUCAAUCCCCGGCACCA